This 326-nucleotide ribosomal RNA is filed under the name uncultured eukaryote. Its description in RNAcentral is "partial 18S ribosomal RNA". It matches the Rfam family "Eukaryotic small subunit ribosomal RNA", at positions 1470 to 1796 of the family's 1831-position model. The record is from RNAcentral.
CCCUUAGAUGUUCUGGGCUGCACGCGCGCUACACUGAUGCACUCAACGAGUUUACGACCUUGCCCGAUAGGGUUGGGUAAUCUUUUUAAAAUGCAUCGUGAUGGGGAUAGAUUAUUGCAAUCAUUAAUCUUCAACGAGGAAUUCCUAGUAAGCGCGAGUCAUCAGCUCGUGCUGAUUACGUCCCUGCCCUUUGUACACACCGCCCGUCGCUCCUACCGAUUGAGUGCUCAGGUGAAUAAUUCGGACUGCAGCAAUGUUUGGAUCCCGAACGUUGCAGCGGAAAGUUUAGUGAACCUUAUCACUUAGAGGAAGGAGAAGUCGUAACA